This 120-nucleotide ribosomal RNA is filed under the name uncultured bacterium. RNAcentral describes it as "partial 16S ribosomal RNA". It matches the Rfam family "Bacterial small subunit ribosomal RNA", at positions 28 to 142 of the family's 1533-position model. The record is from RNAcentral.
GAUGAACGCUAGCGGCAGGCCUAACACAUGCAAGUCGAGGGGCAGCAUUUCCAGCUUGCUGGAAGAUGGCGACCGGCGCACGGGUGCGCAACGCGUAUAGAAUCUGCCUUGCACUGGGGA